AGCGAACGCUGGCGGCAGGCUUAACACAUGCGAGUCGAACGCAUCCUUCGGGGUGAGUGGCAGACGGGUGAGUAACACGUGGGAACGUACCCUUCGAUCUGGGAUAACUUCGGGAAACUGGAGCUAAUACCGGAUACGCCCUUUUGGGGAAAGGUUUACUGUCGAAGGAUCGGCCCGCGUCUGAUUAGCUAGUUGGUGGGGUAACGGCCUACCAAGGCGACGAUCAGUAGCUGGUCUGAGAGGAUGAUCAGCCACACUGGGACUGAGACACGGCCCAGACUCCUACGGGAGGCAGCAGUGGGGAAUAUUGGACAAUGGGCGCAAGCCUGAUCCAGCCAUGCCGCGUGAGUGAUGAAGGCCUUAGGGUUGUAAAGCUCUUUUGUCCGGGACGAUAAUGGCGGUACCGGAAGAAUAAGCCCCGGCUAACUUCGUG
Molecule: ribosomal RNA, 433 nt
Filed under: uncultured bacterium
Lineage: Bacteria
Description: partial 16S ribosomal RNA
Rfam family: Bacterial small subunit ribosomal RNA
Source: RNAcentral